Molecule: transfer RNA, 82 nt
Filed under: Hermanssonia centrifuga
Lineage: Eukaryota; Fungi; Basidiomycota; Agaricomycetes; Polyporales; Meruliaceae
Description: Phlebia centrifuga tRNA
Rfam family: tRNA
About the family: Transfer RNA (tRNA) molecules are approximately 80 nucleotides in length. Their secondary structure includes four short double-helical elements and three loops (D, anti-codon, and T loops). Further hydrogen bonds mediate the characteristic L-shaped molecular structure. tRNAs have two regions of fundamental functional importance: the anti-codon, which is responsible for specific mRNA codon recognition, and the 3' end, to which the tRNAs corresponding amino acid is attached (by aminoacyl-tRNA synthetases). tRNAs cope with the degeneracy of the genetic code in two manners: having more than one tRNA (with a specific anti-codon) for a particular amino acid; and 'wobble' base-pairing, i.e. permitting non-standard base-pairing at the 3rd anti-codon position.
Source: Rfam by way of RNAcentral
UCCGAUAUGGUGUAGUGGCUAACAUUAUCGCCUCUCAUUCACAUGAACGCGAUAGCCCGGGGUUCAAUUCCCCGUGUCGGAA